GAUGAACGCUAGCGGCAGGCUUAAUACAUGCAAGUCAAGGGGGUAGCAAUACUACCGGCGCACGGGUGAGUAACACGUACAUAACAUACCAUAUACUGGGGUAUAGCUUUGGGAAACUGAAGGUAAUCCCCCAUAACAUUGCGAGAGGGCAUCUGAUUGCAAUUAAAGUUUCGACGGUAUAUGAUUGAUGUGCGUUUGAUUAGCUUGUUGGUAGGGUAACGGCCUACCAAGGCGACGAUCAAUAGCUGGCGUGAGAGCGCGACCAGCCACACUGGAACUGAGACACGGUCCAGACUCCUACGGGAGGCAGCAGUAGGGAAUAUUGGACAAUGGGCGAAAGCCUGAUCCAGCCAUGCCGCGUGAUAGAUGAAGGCUCUCUGGGUUGUAAAUAUCUUUUAUCUGGGAAGAAACAAUCUUAUUCUUAAGAUCUUGACGGUACCAGAGGAAUAAGCACCGGCUAACUCCGUGCCAGCAGCCGCGGUAAAGUA
RNAcentral lists this ribosomal RNA (488 nucleotides) under uncultured bacterium. RNAcentral describes it as "bacterial SSU rRNA". It matches the Rfam family "Bacterial small subunit ribosomal RNA", at positions 28 to 527 of the family's 1533-position model. The record is from RNAcentral.